GCCCUUAGAGUUUGAUCCUGGCUCAGGAUGAACGCUAGCGGCAGGCUUAACACAUGCAAGUCGAGGGGUAACAGAGGUAGCAAUACUUGCUGACGACCGGCGCACGGGUGAGUAACGCGUAUGCAACCUACCUCUAACUGAGGCAUAGCCCGGAGAAAUCCGGAUUAAUACCUCAUAAUAUUUCGAAUUCGCAUGUUUUCGAGAUUAAAGUCCAGACGGUUAGAGAUGGGCAUGCGUGACAUUAGUUAGUUGGUGAGGUAACGGCUCACCAAGACUGCGAUGUCUAGGGGGUCUGAGAGGAUGGUCCCCCACACUGGUACUGAGACACGGACCAGACUCCUACGGGAGGCAGCAGUGAGGAAUAUUGGGCAAUGGACGCAAGUCUGACCCAGCCAUGCCGCGUGCAGGAUGACUGCCCUAUGGGUUGUAAACUGCUUUUAUUUGGGAAGAAACCCUCGCUCGUGAGCGGGGCUGACGGUACCAAAAGAAUAAGCAUCGGCUAACUCCGUGCCAGCAGCCGCGGUAAUAAGGGCG
RNAcentral lists this ribosomal RNA (534 nucleotides) under uncultured bacterium. RNAcentral describes it as "bacterial SSU rRNA". It matches the Rfam family "Bacterial small subunit ribosomal RNA", at positions 1 to 531 of the family's 1533-position model. The record is from RNAcentral.